UCUCCGUAGGUGAACCUGCGGAGGGAUCAUUACUGAGUGAGGGCCUUCGGGCUCGACCUCCAACCCUUUGUGAACACAACUUGUUGCUUCGGGGGCGACCCGGCCUUCGGGCGUCGGGGCCCCCGGUGGACCCAUAACACUGCAUCUGUGCGUCUGAGUGAUCAAUCAAUCAAUUAAAACUUUCAACAACGGAUCUCUUGGUUCUGGCAUCGAUGAAGAACGCAGC
Molecule: unclassified non-coding RNA, 226 nt
Filed under: uncultured fungus
Lineage: Eukaryota; Fungi
Description: sequence contains ITS1, 5.8S rRNA gene
Rfam family: 5.8S ribosomal RNA (bases 178-226)
Source: RNAcentral